RNAcentral lists this ribosomal RNA (1016 nucleotides) under uncultured bacterium. Its description in RNAcentral is "bacterial SSU rRNA". It matches the Rfam family "Bacterial small subunit ribosomal RNA", at positions 355 to 1375 of the family's 1533-position model. The record is from RNAcentral.
UGAGGAAUAUUGGUCAAUGGACGCGAGUCUGAACCAGCCAAGUAGCGUGAAGGAUGACUGCCCUAUGGGUUGUAAACUUCUUUUAUAUGGGAAUAAAGUGGUCCACGUGUGGACUUUUGUAUGUACCAUAUGAAUAAGGAUCGGCUAACUCCGUGCCAGCAGCCGCGGUAAUACGGAGGAUCCGAGCGUUAUCCGGAUUUAUUGGGUUUAAAGGGAGCGUAGGCGGAUUGUUAAGUCAGUUGUGAAAGUUUGCGGCUCAACCGUAAAAUUGCAGUUGAUACUGGCAGUCUUGAGUGCAGUAGAGGUGGGCGGAAUUCGUGGUGUAGCGGUGAAAUGCUUAGAUAUCACGAAGAACUCCGAUUGCGAAGGCAGCUCACUGGAGUGUAACUGACGCUGAUGCUCGAAAGUGUGGGUAUCAAACAGGAUUAGAUACCCUGGUAGUCCACACAGUAAACGAUGAAUACUCGCUGUUUGCGAUAUACAGUAAGCGGCCAAGCGAAAGCAUUAAGUAUUCCACCUGGGGAGUACGCCGGCAACGGUGAAACUCAAAGGAAUUGACGGGGGCCCGCACAAGCGGAGGAACAUGUGGUUUAAUUCGAUGAUACGCGAGGAACCUUACCCGGGCUUAAAUUGCAAAUGAAUUAUGGGGAAACCCAUACGCCGCAAGGCAUUUGUGAAGGUGCUGCAUGGUUGUCGUCAGUUCGUGCCGUGAGGUGUCGGCUUAAGUGCCAUAACGAGCGCAACCCUUAUCUUCAGUUACUAACAGGUUAUGCUGAGGACUCUGGUGGGACUGCCAGCGUAAGCUGCGAGGAAGGCGGGGAUGACGUCAAAUCAGCACGGCCCUUACGUCCGGGGCUACACACGUGUUACAAUGGGGGGUACAGCAGGCAGCUACCGGGCGACCGGAUGCCAAUCCCGAAAGCCUCUCUCAGUUCGGACUGGAGUCUGCAACCCGACUCCACGAAGCUGGAUUCGCUAGUAAUCGCGAAUCAGAAUGUCGCGGUGAAUACGUUCCC